This 497-nucleotide ribosomal RNA is filed under the name uncultured bacterium. Its description in RNAcentral is "partial 16S ribosomal RNA". It matches the Rfam family "Bacterial small subunit ribosomal RNA", at positions 28 to 507 of the family's 1533-position model. The record is from RNAcentral.
GAUGAACGCUGGCGGCGUGCCUAAUACAUGCAAGUCGAGCGAACAGACGAGGAGCUUGCUCCUCUGACGUUAGCGGCGGACGGGUGAGUAACACGUGGAUAACCUACCUAUAAGACUGGGAUAACUUCGGGAAACCGGAGCUAAUACCGGAUAAUAUAUUGAACCGCAUGGUUCAAUAGUGAAAGACGGUUUUGCUGUCACUUAUAGAUGGAUCCGCGCCGCAUUAGCUAGUUGGUAAGGUAACGGCUUACCAAGGCAACGAUGCGUAGCCGACCUGAGAGGGUGAUCGGCCACACUGGAACUGAGACACGGUCCAGACUCCUACGGGAGGCAGCAGUAGGGAAUCUUCCGCAAUGGGCGAAAGCCUGACGGAGCAACGCCGCGUGAGUGAUGAAGGUCUUCGGAUCGUAAAACUCUUUUAUUAGGGAGGAACAAAUGUGUAAGUAACUAUGCACGUCUUGACGGUACCUAAUCAGAAAGCCACGGCUAACUACGUG